Molecule: RNA transcript, 4491 nt
Organism: Dreissena polymorpha
Lineage: Eukaryota; Metazoa; Mollusca; Bivalvia; Myida; Dreissenidae
Gene name: mitochondrial calcium uniporter regulator 1-like
Exons: 11
Source: RefSeq, a predicted model, not a curated record
CAACAACAACAAUCACAAAACAAACUAAUAUGCAUAUAUGAUAACAAAAAAAGCAACAUUUUUACCAUAUUUAAAGGUUUAUAAAUUACGAACAACUUACAGUAUUAGCGGAUCACACGAUCAUGCUGCGACAUGUGGGAAGAUCUUUACCAGUUUAUAAACACGUUCUGGAAUUACCCAGACGAUGUAUGUGUCAAACAAUGGAAAGCGUGCAAGACUCAGUUGGGACACCUGUUGUGAAACCAUCACAGAAUCUGUCUGGCGUCAGCAUCGACACAUUGUCCAUUUGCAAGAAGUUCAAACAAGCUGGGUUUACUGACCAUGAGGCGGAGGCCCUAACAGAGGUUGUGUUUGAUGUUGUAAGAGCCUCCAUAGACUCCCAGGGGAAGAUGAUGGUCACAAAGUCUGGACUAGAAAUCAAAUCUCAGCAGCUGCUAGCCCAGAUCAGCGCAGUACAGAAAGAUAUGAUCAUCCUGGAGAAGAGUGAAUUUACCAUGAUACGCAAUGAGACAGAGAAACAAGGCAUUCAUAUCAAGCAAUUAGAGGGAAAACUAACUGAUACGAUCAAGAGGCUUGAAGGCCAAGUGAAAUUGGACAUCAACCUUGAGAGGAGUCGAGCAACAGAGGCUCAUGCAUUAAAUGAGAAGAAUCUUCAGUCACUCCAUAAUAAGAUUGAAGUCCUGAUGGCAUUAAAUGAAAAGAAUCAACAGUCACUUAAUAACAAAAUUGAAGUCCAGGAGGCUCAAACAGAAAAGAACUUAAAGUCCCUGGAUAACAAAAUUGAUGUUGAGAUCUCUAACAUGAAAACCAGGCAGGAAAAGAGCAGAAACACAGCCAUAUACUCUUUUAUAGGAUUUCCAAGAAAAAUGGCGAAGAAGUCAGUUAACCAUAUUUAGGCCAUGAAAAUAUGUACAGAAACCUUAUUUACAAAGGUUUCCUAACAACAGGGGCUUCGCUGUUCUUUGCCUACUUGAGGUUGUUAAAGUGAUCCUUGUAGAUGAUUAUGCUACCUCAUCUGUGAUUCCACUAUGAAAAGUCGGCGAAAUGACCAAUGUCCUGGUGAACAGAUGGAGGAAAUAUAACCGAAAAUGGAAUUUUUUUUUGGGGGGGGGGGGGUAAGAAAUUUUUAUAUUUUAGUUUUUAUUGUGAUAAUCAUUGAAUUUUUAAAGCAUUCAUAAACAGUCAAGAUUUAAAGACAACCUCAGUGCUGUUUUGAUUUAAGUAUGUUAACGUUUUUAAUAGCUUGUAUUUAUAAAAAAUACCUAUUUAAUGGACAAACGAUGAUUGAUGCAGUUUUAUUAGUCCCCUACCUGUUUCAACUGAGGGGACUUGUGGUUUUCGCUCUGUGCGUCUGUCUGUCACACUUUUCUGGAUCCUGCAAUAACUUUAAAAGUUCUUAAUAUUUUAUCAUGAAACUUGAAACAUCUAUAGAUGGCAAUAUGGACACUAUGCACGUCAUUUCAUUGUGUUAUUACGUCAAACAUUCUGGUUGCUAUGGCAACAAAUAGACUAGAAAUACUGCUGAAAAUGGUGGUUUUCUGGGUCCUGCGAUAACUUUAAAAAUUCUUCACAUUUUUUCAUGAAACUUAAUACAUGGAUAGAUGACAAUAUGAACAUUAUGCAUUUUAUUUCAUUUUGUUCCUACAUCAAAAAUUCUGGUUGCUAUGGCAACAAAAACAAAAAAAUUCUGACAAUGGUGGAAUUUCUGACAAUGGUGGAGCCGGUAGGGAACAUAUAUUGCUUGGCAAUAGUCUUGUUACUUAUAUACGUGGAAUUUACUUCAUUAGAUUACUUGAAAUAACUUGCAAUUUUUAUGCCCCCGGUAGGGUGGCAUAUAGCAGUUGAACUGUCCAUCAGUCCGUCUGUCUGUCAGUCUGUGCGUCCGUCCGAAAACUUUUACAUCGGUCAUAACUUUUGCAACAUUGAAGAUAGCAACUUGAUAUUUGGCAUGCAUGUGUGUCUCAUGGAGCUGCACAUUUUGAGUGGUGAAAGGUCAAGGUCAUCCUUCACGGUCAAAGGUAAAAAAAACAUUGAAUUAAAAAUUCAAAGCGGCACAGUAGGGGGCAUUGUGUUUCUGACAAACACAUCUUGUUGUAUUGUAUUGUUAAAUUGUUUUGCUUUGAAUUUAGAAAAUUGUUCUUAAUGUUUUUCUUUUUAUAUGGUAAUUUUAUUUUCAAUAUGUAAAUAAACAAAUACAUUUUCAAAAUCUUCAUUUAUAUUGUACUUUUAGCUGUCUUUGAAACCGCUCAAGUCAGUUUUGAGCAUUUUAAAGAAAAUGAAAUGAAUAUAAUAAUUUAAGUUUUUAUUGAAACGACUUAUAAGGGAAAUUAUUAGUUCUGCAACAAUACGCCAAAACCCGUAUUGCAAUAUAUUGUCAGUUCAAAAACCCGUAUUGCAAUAUAUCGCAAUAUAUUGCUAACUUGUACCAAAAUUAUAACUUGCCAAUUACCCGAUAAUCCUGUAUAUUCCAGUUUUAAAGCAAAUUUUGGUAAAUAUUUACUAUACCGGUAAAUGUGCUCAAGAAUAACAAGAAACACAAACAUUCGCAACUUUUUUUAAGUAUCAAAUACAUUUUGGCAUUUGUUACUAUUUAAAGAUGUGAUGAAAUAACGUCCAACCGGGGCGGUUUUUUUUCGCUGAACACGCUUAAUUCAUCUGACGUGAUGUUCCCGUUUUUAUACAACACAAAAUACACCCAUACUUUCCAUGCCACGUUCUACAUGUAUGUAUAAUUUUUGCAUGCUUUUUAUUGAGACAAAGAAUAAAGCACUUUUUAUUUGACGCUAUAAUUUUUUAUUGUCGCAUUAGCAUUAAAAUUUUGAUGCGUAUUUCCGAAAUUUGGAUUACAAAUUCAAUAAUGCUCAAUUCAGAAUCAAACGAAACAUUUACAGCUGUGCGCAAUUAAUUCAACAAUAAUCUGUUCAAAAGCAUCGAACGAAUGCUCCAAUGUAACAACACUACUCCGUAUAAUAUACUUUUCAGAAUGCUAUUUUUACGAAAAAAACUAUUUUCACUGCUUUGUUUUGUUUACCUUGUUAUCAUUAUUUUGGAUGGCUUUUCUGGACGAAAUGUGAAUGAAUUUUUGUAAAAUUUUCGUACCGGUAUGAUGAAAAUCGUAUCGCAAUACAAUAUGCGGAUUGCGUAUUGCGAUAUAUACCGAUAUACCGGUAUAUUGUUGCAGCACUAGAAAUUAUUUAUUUAAUCUGGCAUAUUUGUAAGACUGUGAAACAUAGGUGGUAGAUAGUUGGUAGAAAUAUAAAUACAAGCUUUACUCGUCAAUUUCUGAUCCUGUCCAUUAACAUGUCACAAAAAGCAAUCAAUAAAAACAUUAGAGUGUAAAAUACAUAGUGUUUUCACAUGGUUACUUAACUUGUGGUUUACUUAAUUAUACAUAUGUUUGCAGAUACAUAGUGUUUUCACAUGGUUGCUUAACUUGUGGUUUACUUAAUUAGACAUAUGUUUGCAGUAAUACUGUUUGACCAAAACUAAGGAUUCAUAUUGACUAUUAUAUACAGUAUUUUCCCAGAAAAAAAAUCACUUCAACAAAAUGAAUCUUUUUUUUGACAAAAUUGACCAACAUGAUUUUUUAAAGAACAUUGUCAACUUCUUAUUAACUUAAUGAUUUAACUCUUUCAGUGCGGGAACCGAAUUUUGAAGGCCUUUGCAAACAGUUUUGAUCCAGAUGAGACGCCACAGAACGUGGCGUCUCAUCUGGAUCCAAACUGUUUGCUAUUCUGAUAGUGUUCUUUGAAAAAAAUGGAAGAAAAUGCUAAUUUUAGAAAUUCAGCAGACGACAUUUUAGCAGACGACAAAUUUCCCAGCAUGCAAAGGGUUAACAAAUGUUGAUAACACAAUACUACAUGUAUUCGUCUUGAGUAUCAAAGGAUUUUUUCCCAGUUAACAGAAACUAGUUCAAUACAUUUAAAGAUUGUUUAGAGUGCUUGUUCUAAUAUAAAUUAAAGUGAUAUUAUGGGCAUUUUUCACUGUUGAAUUGAGCUGAAAAGAAUCAACAGGUCAACAGAGUAAGUUAAAAUGUGGUUACUGACUAAUUAUCUGCAACUCAUCUUGCUAACAGUUGUUUAUAAAAAUAUAUUUUAUAUUAUAUAUUUUACGUGACCCACCCAGUCCUGUAAGCCGAAAUGAUAUGUAAAACAAAAUGGUGUCUUUGUGUCGUAUAAACGUAUCUGCACUAAAACUAAAUUUAGGUUCACAUUGUACAUGCGUGAUCAGUUGUUAAACGAAAGUACGGUUGAUAUUCAAAUGCAUUAUUUUUUUUCUUUCCAGGAUAUUGUUUUAGUAUGUUGAUGCUGCAUUAACAAAUAUAAGUGUAUAUGAAGUGAAAACACCAAAAAUAAACAACGGUUGCGAUAGGCACCUAUAAACUGUUAGAUGCCCAUAAUAUCACUUCAAAAGAUGUUUAUUUCAUUUUUUUUAAAUAAUGUAUUGUAAGGAAUAUCUGCACAUAUGCUUGAAAUAAACACAUAAUAGAUA